GGGGUUAUGGUCUAACCUGGCUACGAUUGGCGCUUAGGGAGCGUCAGAUCCGGGUUCAAAUCCCGGUAACCCCA
This 74-nucleotide transfer RNA is filed under the name Candidatus Woesearchaeota archaeon. RNAcentral's name for it is "tRNA-Pro". It matches the Rfam family "tRNA". From Rfam's summary of the family: Transfer RNA (tRNA) molecules are approximately 80 nucleotides in length. Their secondary structure includes four short double-helical elements and three loops (D, anti-codon, and T loops). Further hydrogen bonds mediate the characteristic L-shaped molecular structure. tRNAs have two regions of fundamental functional importance: the anti-codon, which is responsible for specific mRNA codon recognition, and the 3' end, to which the tRNAs corresponding amino acid is attached (by aminoacyl-tRNA synthetases). tRNAs cope with the degeneracy of the genetic code in two manners: having more than one tRNA (with a specific anti-codon) for a particular amino acid; and 'wobble' base-pairing, i.e. permitting non-standard base-pairing at the 3rd anti-codon position. Lineage: Archaea; Nanobdellati; Candidatus Woesearchaeota. The record is from RNAcentral.